AACGCAACUUGCGCUCUCUGGUAUUCCGGAGAGCAUGCCUGUUUGAGUGUCAUGAAAUCUCAACCAUUAGGGUUUCUUAAUGGCUUGGAUUUGGAGGUUGCCAGUCUAACUGGCUCCUCUUAAAAGAGUUAGCAAGUUUAACUAUUGCUAUCUGGCGUAAUAAGUUUCGCUGGAGCUGGCAUUGUGAAGCGUGCUUCUAAUCGUCUUCGGACAAUUACUUUGACUCUGGCCUCAAAUCAGGUAGGACUACCCGCUGAACUUAA
RNAcentral lists this unclassified non-coding RNA (263 nucleotides) under uncultured Apiotrichum. RNAcentral's name for it is "sequence contains ITS2". The stretch from base 1 to 52 matches the Rfam family "5.8S ribosomal RNA", at positions 103 to 154 of the family's 154-position model. The record is from RNAcentral. Lineage: Eukaryota; Fungi; Basidiomycota; Tremellomycetes; Trichosporonales; Trichosporonaceae.